UAGACACCAAAGCAGACCAUGUUAAACACCCCAAAAUAAAGGUCCAAACCAAAUGAUCCCUGCUCUAAUGUCUUUGGUUGGGGCGACCGCGGGGAAACACAAAACCCCCACGUGGAACGAGAACACUUCCUCUCACAACCAAGAGCUCCCGCUCUAAUAAACAGAAAUUCUGACCAUCAAGAUCCGGCAAAGCCGAUCAACGGACCGAGUUACCCUAGGGAUAACAGCGCAAUCCCCUUUUAGAGGCCAUAUCGACAAGGGGGUUUACGACCUCGAUGUUGGAUCAGGACAUCCUAAUGGUGCAGCCGCUAUUAAG
Molecule: ribosomal RNA, 316 nt
Filed under: Lutjanus fulvus (blacktail snapper)
Lineage: Eukaryota; Metazoa; Chordata; Actinopteri; Lutjaniformes; Lutjanidae
Description: partial large subunit ribosomal RNA
Rfam family: Bacterial large subunit ribosomal RNA
Source: RNAcentral